This 304-nucleotide ribosomal RNA is filed under the name uncultured bacterium. RNAcentral describes it as "partial 16S ribosomal RNA". It matches the Rfam family "Bacterial small subunit ribosomal RNA", at positions 506 to 807 of the family's 1533-position model. The record is from RNAcentral.
CAGCAGUAGCCGCGGGAAUACAGAGGGUGCGAGCGUUAAUCGGAAUUACUGGGCGUAAAGCGUGCGCAGGCGGUUAUAUAAGACAGAUGUGAAAUCCCCGGGCUCAACCUGGGAACUGCAUUUGUGACUGUAUAGCUAGAGUACGGCAGAGGGGGAUGGAAUUCCGCGUGUAGCAGUGAAAUGCGUAGAUAUGCGGAGGAACACCGAUGGCGAAGGCAAUCCCCUGGGCCUGUACUGACGCUCAUGCACGAAAGCGUGGGGAGCAAACAGGAUUAGAUACCCGCGUAGUCCCUGUCUCUUAUAC